UAUUGAAAUUAAAGAUUCAUAUGUUUAUCUUGGUCUGCUAUGUAAUUACCACGGAAACUUCUCUAAAGCUCGAAAAAAAAGUUGUUAGACUGUAUUUGAUGCAUUGGUGGUUACUAUUUUGACCUACUACUCGGAAAUAUGGAGGUUUGAAAAUAAAAAUAAUACUGAAACAAAUAUAUCUACAGUUUUGUAAGGGCAUUUUUGGGGUGCGAUCGUCUACGCCAAAUUUAAUGGUGUAUGGUGAACUUU
Molecule: long non-coding RNA, 249 nt
Filed under: Mytilus galloprovincialis (Mediterranean mussel)
Lineage: Eukaryota; Metazoa; Mollusca; Bivalvia; Mytilida; Mytilidae
Source: RNAcentral